RNAcentral lists this ribosomal RNA (451 nucleotides) under uncultured bacterium. RNAcentral describes it as "partial 16S ribosomal RNA". It matches the Rfam family "Bacterial small subunit ribosomal RNA", at positions 354 to 796 of the family's 1533-position model. The record is from RNAcentral.
GUGGGGAAUAUUGGACAAUGGGGGGAACCCUGAUCCAGCCAUGCCGCGUGUGUGAAGAAGGCCUUUUGGUUGUAAAGCACUUUAAGCGAGGAGGAGGCUACCGAGAUUAAUACUCUUGGAUAGUGGACGUUACUCGCAGAAUAAGCACCGGCUAACUCUGUGCCAGCAGCCGCGGUAAUACAGAGGGUGCGAGCGUUAAUCGGAUUUACUGGGCGUAAAGCGUGCGUAGGCGGCUUUUUAAGUCGGAUGUGAAAGCCCCGAGCUUAACUUGGGAAUUGCAUUCGAUACUGAGAAGCUAGAGUAUGGGAGAGGAUGGUAGAAUUCCAGGUGUAGCGGUGAAAUGCGUAGAGAUCUGGAGGAAUACCGAUGGCGAAGGCAGCCAUCUGGCAUAAUACUGACGCUGAGGUACGAAAGCAUGGGGAGCAAACAGGAUUAGAAACCCCAGUAGUCC